Alligator mississippiensis (American alligator) is the source of this 882-nucleotide long non-coding RNA. RefSeq lists it as uncharacterized. The record is from RefSeq and is a predicted model, not a curated record. Lineage: Eukaryota; Metazoa; Chordata; Crocodylia; Alligatoridae. The transcript has 3 exons.
GGACUGGCCACAUCUGCAGCCCAGAGGUUGAACAAUUUGCUAUAGCCAUAUGAUCACGGCUGCUGUAAAGCAUCCUUUUUUGGCCCACACAGCAUGGUCAUCCUUUCUGAAGACAAGUGCGUAAGUGGGGAAGGACUCUCAAACAACAUUACUGCUUCUGCCCAGCAAUCACCUUUGUGAGCAGAAACAAUUUCUAGCACCUGGGAUGGAAGCACCCUGAGAGUCUCACCUUAAGCUGGAUUUUCCUGGCUUCCAGAAUCCCUCUUGCAGCUGGGAAGCGGGCCCUGGCAAGAGCUAGAACUCCAGUGAUUUUCAGAUUCCUGACCCGUGGCUUGGAGCCAGAAGCUCUAGUUGAAUGGAGCCUAGGCUGUCUGCAUGGUGGAGAUGCCUCAGAGACACGCACUGAGGAAUUCUAGACUUUUAACCAGUCUGUCAUGUGAGCUGGUAGGAAGCUAGGCUAGUUUUCAUUGGACCACUGCCUCCGAGUCAUCAAAAGUCUUGAUGAAUUGGCAUCUGCUGCUGGAAAACCUGUUUUGUUAGGAAAUUCCCAACCAGCUGGAGUUAAGAGGACCAGAUUUUGCAGCUGUUUUGUAUCCUCCUACUAAUAAAAAUAUAAGCAGAAUCUCUCGCUUUGUUAUUUUCUAGAAAUAAAAAUGAACAUGUGUGGAUGUGAGACUUCUGUUCCAGUUAUGGAAAUUAUUACCAGGAAUCCAGGGGAAAGCAGUUCCUUUUUACCAUUUGAUCCAUCAUGCUCCAUCUCAAUUAGCAGUUCUGGGCUCAGUGCAAGAAUCAGCUGGUGAAAGGCGAUAGUCUACCACGAACGGGAAUUCAGAGUAGAGCCGAGUGGGUGAACUUACAACUAGAAGAAAUGAAAUGAAUGCA